RNAcentral lists this small RNA (62 nucleotides) under Escherichia coli MS 146-1. Its description in RNAcentral is "sRNA P26". It matches the Rfam family "Pseudomonas sRNA P26". Rfam says of the family: P26 is conserved across many Gammaproteobacteria species and appears to be consistently located between the DNA directed RNA polymerase (beta subunit) and 50S ribosomal protein L7/L12 genes. The record is from RNAcentral. Lineage: Bacteria; Pseudomonadati; Pseudomonadota; Gammaproteobacteria; Enterobacterales; Enterobacteriaceae.
ACCCUUCCGGUUGCAGCCUGAGAAAUCAGGCUGAUGGCCGGUGACUUUUUAGUCACCAGCCU